GAUCAUACUGGGAUCUAUGGUAAAAAUCAGUCAACGGUUGUAAGAGGUCAUAGCCAUUCAGUUGAUUUAAGCUCCCCAAAAACUCCACGAGGUCCUGUAGUGCCUGAAAGCUAUUGGGAAGAGAAGUGGAGAGUUUUACACAAGGAAGAAGAGCGCAAGCAAAAUAGUGCAGAAAAACAAGUUCCAAACCGAAGAAAAGGUUGGUCUGAGAAAGUGAGGUUGCGUCUUACUAGAACUGAGUCUGCUCCAACUCCAUCUUCAGUUGAUAAUGGAAAAAAAGCUUCUAAGUCAGUGAGGAGAAGUUUGUUGAAAGAUCUUGCUCAGCAGCUUGGUGCCGAUGAAGAUAUAGAAAAGCUUAUUGAUGAUGAAAAUAUAGAGCAGGAAGCUCCAGUUGACGUUGUCGGACAAGAUUGUAAUGAUGGGAAUUUUACUUGCACGUCUGAGGAGUCAUGCUCCACUGGAAGUGCUGCUAGUGAACAGAAUUCGUCUAUUUUCUCAGAUCCUCCAAGCCCUAUUAGUGAUAAAUUUUACUUGCACGUCUGAGCAGUCAUGCUCCACUGGAAGUGCCGCUAGUGAACAGAAUUCGUCUAUUUUCUCAGAUCCUCCAAGCCCUAUUAGUGAUGCAAAUGAUCACGAAAAUAGAUCUGAAAGAAGUAGUGUUGCAUCAAAUUUCUCAGCCGAUGAAAUUGAUGCUGAUGUAAAUAGUGGUGAGGCAUCUUGUACCAAUCUAGAAGUCUCACCUCUCCCUGUUUCUGUUCCGCCUCAGCAGACCUUGCUAAAAUCUGAAGAAAGUGUCGACUCUGGGGGAAAAGGUCCAGUAGGCUUCAAGGAGCGGAAACUUCUAUCUGGUAAAUUUCAGUGGUUAUGGAAAAUGAUGCUGAUGGAAAUAGUGGUGAGGCAUCUUGUACCAAUAUAGAAGUCUCACCUCUCCCUAUUUCUGUUCCCCCUCAGCAGACCUCGCUAAAAUCUGAAGAAAGUGCCGACUCUGGGGAAAAAGGUCCAGUAGGCUUUAAGGGGCGGAAACUUCUAUCUGGUAAAUUUCAGUGGUUAUGGGAAUUUGGACGAAAUGGUGGUGAGGAGACGUCUGAAAAAGGU
Molecule: long non-coding RNA, 1095 nt
Filed under: Nicotiana benthamiana
Lineage: Eukaryota; Viridiplantae; Streptophyta; Magnoliopsida; Solanales; Solanaceae
Description: long non-coding RNA (NBEN_LNC023028)
Source: RNAcentral